CAGCCGCCGCGGUAAUACGAAGGGUGCAAGCGUUAAUCGGAAUUACUGGGCGUAAAGCGUGCGUAGGCGGUUUGUUAAGUCUGUUGUGAAAUCCCCGGGCUCAACCUGGGAAUGGCAAUGGAUACUGGCAAGCUAGAGUGUGUCAGAGGAUGGUGGAAUUCCCGGUGUAGCGGUGAAAUUCGUAGAUAUUGGGAAGAACACCGGUGGCGAAGGCGGCGACCUGGUCCGAUACUGACGCUGAGGCGCGAAAGCGUGGGGAGCAAACAGGAUUAGAUACCCGUGUAGUCCCUGUCUCUUAUAC
This 301-nucleotide ribosomal RNA is filed under the name uncultured bacterium. RNAcentral describes it as "partial 16S ribosomal RNA". It matches the Rfam family "Bacterial small subunit ribosomal RNA", at positions 509 to 807 of the family's 1533-position model. The record is from RNAcentral.